RNAcentral lists this ribosomal RNA (253 nucleotides) under uncultured bacterium. RNAcentral's name for it is "partial 16S ribosomal RNA". It matches the Rfam family "Bacterial small subunit ribosomal RNA", at positions 524 to 776 of the family's 1533-position model. The record is from RNAcentral.
UACGUAGGGCGCAAGCGUUGUCCGGAAUUAUUGGGCGUAAAGAGCUCGUAGGCGGCUUGUCACGUCGGGUGUGAAAGCCCGGGGCUUAACCCCGGGUCUGCAUUCGAUACGGGCAGGCUAGAGUGUGGUAGGGGAGUGUGGAAUUCCUGGUGGAGCGGUGAAAUGCGCAGAUAUCAGGAGGAACACCCGUAGCGAAGGCGGCACUCUGGGCCGAUACUGACACUGAGGAGCGAAAGCGUGGGGAGCGAACAGG